GAUGAACGCUGGCGGCGUGCCUAAUACAUGCAAGUCGAGCGAACAGACGAGGAGCUUGCUCCUCUGACGUUAGCGGCGGACGGGUGAGUAACACGUGGAUAACCUACCUAUAAGACUGGGAUAACUUCGGGAAACCGGAGCUAAUACCGGAUAAUAUAUUGAACCGCAUGGUUCAAUAGUGAAAGACGGUUUUGCUGUCACUUAUAGAUGGAUCCGCGCCGCAUUAGCUAGUUGGUAAGGUAACGGCUUACCAAGGCAACGAUGCGUAGCCGACCUGAGAGGGUGAUCGGCCACACUGGAACUGAGACUCGGUCCAGACUCCUACGGGAGGCAGCAGUAGGGAAUCUUCCGCAAUGGGCGAAAGCCUGACGGAGCAACGCCGCGCGAGUGAUGAAGGUCUUCGGAUCGUAAAACUCUGUUAUUAGGGAAGAACAAAUGUGUAAGUAACUAUGCACGUCUUGACGGUACCUAAUCAGAAAGCCACGGCUAACUACGUG
Molecule: ribosomal RNA, 497 nt
Filed under: uncultured bacterium
Lineage: Bacteria
Description: partial 16S ribosomal RNA
Rfam family: Bacterial small subunit ribosomal RNA
Source: RNAcentral